GUAGGCUACGGGGACAUGAGGCCCAUCACUGUGGGAGGCAAGAUUGUGGGCUCACUCUGCGCCAUCGCUGGGGUCCUCACUAUCGCCCUGCCUGUGCCUGUCAUCGUCUCCAAU
Molecule: non-coding RNA, 114 nt
Organism: Cricetulus griseus (Chinese hamster)
Lineage: Eukaryota; Metazoa; Chordata; Mammalia; Rodentia; Cricetidae
Source: Rfam